RNAcentral lists this ribosomal RNA (492 nucleotides) under uncultured bacterium. Its description in RNAcentral is "partial 16S ribosomal RNA". It matches the Rfam family "Bacterial small subunit ribosomal RNA", at positions 29 to 507 of the family's 1533-position model. The record is from RNAcentral.
AGUGAACGCUGGCGGUAUGCCUAACACAUGCAAGUCGAACGGCAGCACAGUAAGAGCUUGCUCUUACGGGUGUCGAGUGGCGGACGGGUGAGGAAUACAUCGGAAUCUACUUUUUCGUGGGGGAUAACGUAGGGAAACUUACGCUAAUACCGCAUACGACCUCCGGGUGAAAGCAGGGGAUCUUCGGACCUUUCGCGAUUGAAUGAGCCGAUGUCGGAUUAGCUAGUUGGCGGGGUAAAGGCCCACCAAGGCCACGAUCCGUAGCUGGUCUGAGAGGAUGAUCAGCCACACUGGAACUGAGACACGGUCCAGACUCCUACGGGAGGCAGCAGUGGGGAAUAUUGGACAAUGGGCGAAAGCCUGAUCCAGCCAUACCGCGUGGGUGAAGAAGGCCUUCGGGUUGUAAAGCCCUUUUGUUGGGAAAGAAAAGCAGCAGGUUAAUACGCCGCUGUUCUGACGGUACCCAAAGAAUAAGCACCGGCUAACUUCGUG